This 357-nucleotide long non-coding RNA is filed under the name Pan troglodytes (chimpanzee). RNAcentral describes it as "long non-coding RNA NONPTRT002986". The record is from RNAcentral. Lineage: Eukaryota; Metazoa; Chordata; Mammalia; Primates; Hominidae.
UGCACCCCUAGAAGAAAACUCUAGGGGUUACUUGGAUCAGUCAGUAAGAAUGGACAGUUAGUACAGUUGGAAUGAGUAUAGUGGAGCAGGAAACACAGUUGGAGGGUGAGAGUAGGGUCAUCUUCCUGUCUUCUCCCUGGUACUGUGGUCAUUGCCCUGUUUCUCAGAAGAGUUUGAAGACAGAAGUGAUUUCAAAUUCUCACUAAUUAAAAUGGAGGCUAUCAGCAUGUGCCUGAAGUCCUGCUGCUGCUGCAGAGGAAGUGCUUCCAAGACCAAGAUAACCAGGCAAUCAUAGUAGAUGCAUCAAUGCACCCUUGCCCAAGGGCCUAGACAAGAGGUAAGUAACCAUGAUUUAUC